This 68-nucleotide transfer RNA is filed under the name Tyrannus savana (Fork-tailed flycatcher). RNAcentral's name for it is "tRNA-Trp". The record is from RNAcentral. Lineage: Eukaryota; Metazoa; Chordata; Aves; Passeriformes; Tyrannidae.
AGGAACUUAGGUUACUUAAACCGAGGGCCUUCAAAGCCCUAAACAAGAGCUACCCCUCUUAGUUCCUG